CCUACGGGUGGCAGCAGUAAGGAAUAUUGGUCAAUGGAGGAAACUCUGAACCAGCCAUCCCGCGUGAAGGAUGAAGGGGCUCUGCCUUGUAAACUUCUUUUGUCUGGGGCGAAAAAGCUCGAUUUAUCGAGAACUGACGUUACCAGAAGAAUAAGCACCGGCUAACUCCGUGCCAGCAGCCGCGGUAAUACGGAGGGUGCAAGCAUUAUCCGGAAUCACUGGGGUGAAGGGGUGCGAGGACGUCUUAGGAGAAAGGCUGUGGCUUAACCAUGGAAGUGCCAUUGAUACUGCAGAGCUUGAAUGAGGUUGAGGUUGGCGGAAUGUGACAUGUAGCGGUGAAAUGCUUAGAUAUGUCAUGGAACACCGAUUGCGAAGGCAGCUGACUGGACCUAUAUUGACGCUGAGGCACGAAAGCGUGGGGAGCGAACAGGAUUAGAUACCCGGGUAGUC
Molecule: ribosomal RNA, 450 nt
Filed under: uncultured bacterium
Lineage: Bacteria
Description: partial 16S ribosomal RNA
Rfam family: Bacterial small subunit ribosomal RNA
Source: RNAcentral